GAGCCGCACGCGUAAAUUCCUGUACUGAGCCGAGCCGCGCCUGCGCCAAGCCGAGCCGGUCCCUGUCCUUUUCCAGCCGAGCCGCCAAGACUAAUUUGGCUCCAUCCACCUAAAUUUUGGGACGUCUUGGACCAAGUAAUUGCUGCAGCGCGGGAUUUCUUCAGUAGGGGCUCGAGCACUGCAACCUCCUUCUAGGGUAAGUUAUUUCAAAUGAGUCUUGAACCGUUAGUCGUUGGCGACCUAAUUACGAAUUUUGGCAUAUUAAACAGUUAGGACCUCGUCGCUUGGAAAGCGUACUGCCUCGCGGUUAGGACUCGACAAGUAAAUCUCCAGGUAAGAGAUUCUACUACUAGCUUCAUGUUUAGAAGUAUGAGACUAUGUAUGCUCCAAUUUUUCAUGUUAAGAAUUAGACAGUACGAUGCCUGAAAUAAAUGUUAGUAUGAUGCAACUGACGAUAUGGUUAUACUAUGGCCUGUUAUGUGUGGCGAGAGCUGUUAUGGCUAUACGACGAAUGUCGAGACGGAGAGUGUAGAGACGAUUUAUGUGAUAUGUUAUAUGCUGAUGCCAUGUGUAUGUAUACUGCAAUUAGGGUACCUGUUAGCUUAAUCUGUUAGAGUCGUACCUGCAUGGGUGUCCUUCGGGAUCACCACCUAUUGAGGACUGUGUGGUCCGACGGGACACCAGUCUAGCAUGGAUAUAGAUAUGACUCGAGUGACUCGACGGGGUCCUCGCAUCCCGACUGUCCUAGGUGUCCCCCGGGGCACCGAAGACCAGAGUUACGUUCCUACGGGAGCGCAUGAUUGCACGUGUUCGGGAACGUGCCAGAGAUUGGGUACCAGUUAUCAGGACUCUAACAGGAAGUUAACAGGCACCUAGUGGGACUAGUAGUGGGUCCCUUACUGAGUAUUUUUAUACUCACUCUCUUCGUUUUAUGUUUUCAGGUAGAGGACGGGGCAAGGGCAAGGGCAAGCUGGCGAGCGACCCGAAGUGAGACCGUGGAGGGCCAUAGGGACUACCGCUUCCGCUUAUUCUUAUUUCAGAUUUUCGCAUUUGAAUUUGAGUACUUUUCAUCACUUACCAUCUUUUAUGUAGAGAGGGCCCGAGUAGGA
Cucumis melo (muskmelon) is the source of this 1109-nucleotide long non-coding RNA. RefSeq lists it as uncharacterized. The transcript is spliced from 3 exons. NCBI's taxonomy places the organism in Eukaryota, Viridiplantae, Streptophyta, Magnoliopsida, Cucurbitales, Cucurbitaceae. The record is from RefSeq and is a predicted model, not a curated record.